UCCUGGAAGAAACGCUUUGAUUACCGGCUGGGUUCCUGAGGAUCAAUGUGCCAGAUACCAAACUUCUGCAUUCCCUCUGUUGGAAUACAAACGAAGUCAACUGGGGGUAGCUUUCAGCACAGCUUUGCCUACGACCAGGCUGAAUGCAAGUGCUCCCAUUUUGACAGAGGAGGUAACACAUACAUUCAAGAAUUCAUGGAGUGCCUUCUGGAGAAAGCAUGAUAGAUUUUUUUUUUUUUGAAUUAUGGAAGAAAAUAAAAACCAAUACCAGAGAAAAUAAGCUCCAGUUUUUCCAAAAUGUACUUAGAAAAUGGACUUUAACUCUGCAUUUAUAUUCCAUCAAGAAGUCAUUGUAACAGAGGGUGGAGAUUGAAACAGGCCACGGCAGAGGGUGCUUCUGGAGUGUAUGGGGAGGCUGCUCUUCAGAGGGGUGCUGUGGCCCCGGCCGCAGCUCUGCCCCGCUGGCCUUGGAUGGGGAGAUUUGCACUGUUAGGGGAAUCUCCCAACAGCAGAGGCAGCCAGGCUUCCUCCAGGCCUGCCUCGCUGCCGCUUCUGGAUCUAGGAAAGAUCAUAUCACACCCUUGCCAGAGACUGCGGCAGGAUGUCACAUAGGCUCCCAAGUGACAGAGUGACAGAGACCUUAUCUGCACCGUGAAGCAGCAACCUUUGUUCCAAGCCCGCGGCUUGCCCUCCUGCCUCCUGACUCAGCACUGCCACCCUCUGGGACUCUCAGGCAGAGUGGACAGUGAGAGAGAGAGAGACGGAAAGAAAGGUCUUCCUUUUUGCCGUUGGUUCACCCUCCAAUGGCCGCCGCACCGCACUGAUCCGAUGGCUUGAACCUAUCUAAGGGGCUAUGUCUAAAAUAGUAUCAUUUUAAUGAUUUUUUUUUUUUUGGCUAAAGAAUCUUUCAUCUUCCUCAAAUACUAUGUGACUAUGAUUGUGCAGACAUUGUGAGGGUGGGGUCAGAUUACCAGUGCUGUGGUGUUUUUUUUUUUUUUUUUAAAGAUUUUAUUUAUUUGAAAAGCAGAGUUAUGGGGGGAGAAAGAGAGAGAUCUUCCAUGUGUUGGUUCAUUCCCCAGAUGGCCUCAACGGCCAGGGCUGGGCCAAACUGAAGCCUCCAGGAGCCUGGAGCUUCAUCUGGGUGUCCCAUGUGGGUUCAGGUGCCCAAGCAGUUGGGCCAUCUUCUGUUGCUUUCCCAGGUGCAUUAGCAGGGAGCUGGAUUGGAAGUGGAACAGCCAGGAUUCAAACUGGCACCCAUAUGGGAUGCUGGCAUCACAGGUGGUGACUUUUAUCUGCUAUACCACAACACCGGUCCCAACCAGUGCUGUGAUUUUAAGCAGUAUUUUAAAAGUAUACCAAGAAAAGAAUAGGAUACAUGUACAUCUAUGGACAGCAGAGGCUGGCAACAGUCUGCAGAUCAAAUCCAGUUGACUGCCUGUUUUUGUAUGGCUUGCAAGACUGGCUUUUCCAUUUUCAAAUGGCUGGAAAAGAAACAUUUCAGGACAUGGGGACAUUGCAUUAAAUUCAACUUUUGGGGGCAGGCAUUGUGAUGCCAUGGAUUAAGUUGCCACUUGGAAUGCCCACAUUCCAAAUUAUCCUGAGAGUGUGGAAUCAAGUUCUGCCUCCACUUCGGAUCCAGCAUCCUGUUGACGGGUCUAGGAGGCAGCAGAUGAUGACCCUAGUACUCAAGUCCCUGUGCCACCCACUGGGAGGCCUGGAUGAAAUUUCUGGCUCCUGGCUUUGGCCUGACCAAGUUCCAGCUGUGAUGGCCAUUUGGGGAGUACCCCAGCUAAUGUAAGAUUGCUUUCUUGUGUUAAAAGAUUUAUUUAUUUAUUUGAAAGUCAGAGUUACAGAGAGGCUCAGGCAGAGAAAGAGAGAGAGGUCUUCCAUCCACUGUUUCACUCCUCAAAUGGCCACAAUGGCUGGAGCUGGGCUGAUCCAAAGCCAAGAGCUUCUUCCAGGUCUCCCACGUGGGUGCAGGGCCCAAGGACUUGGGACAUCUUCUACUGCUUUCCCAGGCACAUUAGCAAAGAGCUGGAUCAGAAGUGGAACAGCUGGGACUUGAACUGGCACCAUAUGAGAUGCUAGUACUGCAGGUGGCAGCUUUACCCACUAUGCCACAGCGCAGGCCCCUGUAAGAUCUCUUUCUAUCUCUCCCCCUCUCUCUCUGUCGCUCUGCCUUUCAAAUAAAUAAAUAAACAAAUGUUUUGUGUUUUUUUUUUUUUUUAAAAGGCACAGGGACCAGCGUUGUGUCUGCGGUGGGUUAAGCCACUGCCUGGAAUGCCAGCAUCUUGUAAGAGUGGUGGUUUGAGUCCUUACUGCUCCACUUCCCAUCCAGCUCCCUGCUGAUGCACCUGGGAAGGCAGUGGAAGAUGUCUCAUGUUGGAGUAGCUGGGUUCAAUUCCUGUCUCUGCCUCCUGACUCCAGCUUCCUGCUAAUGUAGACCCUGGGAUGUGGCUGUGAUGGCUCCACUAGUUGGGUCCCUGUAGCCCACAUGGGAGACCUGGAUUGAGUUCCAGCUCAUGGCCCUGGCCCAAUCCAAGCUAUUGUGGGAAUUUGGAGGAAUGAACCAGUAAAUGGGCACUCUCUUGGUUUCUGUCUCUGAAAAAAAAAAAGUCCAGUGCUGAUAGAGAAAUUGUACAGCCACGAGGAACCCAAGCUGUUUUCAUCCUCCGUUCUAUACACCUUACAGUCUAAUUUCCAGUCUCAGGCAUUUGCUGGCUGUGGGAGCUUCAGCUGUGCUAUAUCUCUUGUUGCUGGCAGGAGGAAAAUUUUGGUUUCCUCAAGAGUCCUCCGGAUGACUUCUCUUUGUCUCUCAUCGACCUUCCCUGGCCUGGGAUGUAUAGUGUUUAGGAUGAGCCUAAAUCCCUAUGAGGAAGUCAACAUGAGACUACAUACAAAUCACAAAACUUUUUGGAAGUUUAUCAUAUGCAAAUGGAAUACAUUUUUUGGCCUUUUUAUACGUGUUUAUAUGUAAUUUCACAUACUUGUUAUAAGCAGUCAGAAUUGACUGAGUUAAUCCUGAGGAUUAAAUUUGGGGAAAAUUAGAUGUUGCAUUUAGAAGCAUCAUUCAAUCUACACUGUGAGAAAAAAUGUUAGGACACUUGGUGGACACAGGACUGGGCAUUUAGCCUACCGGAUGCCUGCAUACACAUGGGAGUUGGUUUGAUUCCCAGUUCUGAUUCUUGAUUCUAGCUUCCUGCCCAUGCAGACCCAGAUAGAUAGCAAUGAUAGCUGAAGAAACUGGGUUCCUGUCACUCAUAUAGGGGCUUGGAUUACAUUCCCAGAUCUCAGCUUGGGCUUCAGCCCCAACUGUCGCAGAUAUUUGGUGAAUGAGCCAGCAGAUGGGAGCUCUGUCUCUCAAAUCAAUUUUUUUUUUUAAAUUAAAAACAAAAGUCAUUGUUUCUCAUAGUGUCCAUUUCACUUCAUCAGGUUUCCUUUUAGGUGCUUGGUUAGUUGUCACCGAUCAGGUAGAACACAUGAUAUUUGUCCCUUUGGGACUGGCUUAAUUCACUCAGCAUGAUGUUUUCCAGAUUCCUGUCAUUUGUUGCAAAUUACAGGAUUUCAUUUUUUUUUUUUUACUGCAGUAUAGUAUUCUAUAGAGUACAUAUCCCAUAAUUUCUUUAUCCAGAAAUUAUGUUGAUGGGCAUUUAGGUUGAUUCCAUGUCUUAGAUAUUGUGAACUGAGCUGAAUAAAUGAGCACCCAAAAGGAAACCUGUUGAAGUGAAAUGGACACUAUGAGAAACAGUGACUUGAUCAGCCCUUGUCCUGACUGUCGAGGAACAACUUACUACUUUAUUCCUUUUAGUAUUUUUUGUUCUACUUAAUACUAUUGGUUGAACUCUUUAAUUACCACACAAUUAUUCUUAGAUGUUUAAAUUUAACUGAAAAGUGAUCCCUGUUAAAUAUGAGUGGGAAUAAGAGAGGGAGGAGAUGUACAGUUCGGCACAUGCUCAAUCGGACUUGCCCUGAAUGGUAGAGUUAGAAACGUGCCAGGGGAUUCCAAUUCAAUCCCAUCAAGGUGGCAUGUACCAAUGCCAUCUCACUAGUCAAAGUGAUCAGUUUCAGUUCAUAAUUGAUCAUAAUGAUAGGAUUAAGAGUCAAAGGGAUCACAUAAACAAGACUAGUGUCUGCUAAUACUAACUGAUAGAAUUAAAAUGGAGAGAAUGAUCCAGCAUGGGAAGUGGGAUACACAGCAGAUUCAUAGAAGGGCAGAUGUCCUAAACAGCACUCUGGCCUCAGAAUCAGCCCUUAAGGCAUUCGGAUCUGGCUAAAAAGCCCAUGAGAGUAUUUCAGGCAUGGAAAGCCAAGACACUCUGUUUAAAAAAAACAAAACAAAACAAAACAAAACAAAACAAAUAUAUAUAUAUAUAUAUAUAUAUAAAUGAACGAUCUCUGUGAGUGAGAUCCCAGUGGAAAGAAUGGGCCAUCAAAGAAGGAGGUACCUUUCUCUGAAGGGAGGAGAGAACUUCCACUUUGACUAUGACCUUGUCUAAAUAAGAUUGGAGUUGGCAAACUCAAAAUGCUUCCAUAGCCUUGGCAACUCACGACAAGAGCCUUGGGUGAUUACUGACACCAUAAAUAAGAGUGUCAAUUGUUAAGUCAACUACAAGAGUCACUGUGCACUUACUCCCUAUGUAGGACCUCUGUCCUUAAUGUGUUGUACUAUGUGAAUUAAUGGUAUAACUAGUACUCAAACAGUACUUUGUGUUUCUGUGUGGGUGCAAACUGUUGAAAUCUUUACUUAGUAUAUACUAAACUGAUCUUCUGUAUAUAGAGAUAAUUGAAAAUGAAUCUUGAUGUGAAUGGAAUGGGAGAGGGAGUGGGAGAUGGGAGGAUUGUGGGUGGGAGGGAAUUUAUUAGAGGGGGGGAGCCAAUGUAAUCCAAAAGUUGUACUUUGGAAAUUUAUAUUUAUUAAAUAAAAGUUUAAAAAAUCA
Oryctolagus cuniculus (rabbit) is the source of this 4937-nucleotide non-coding RNA. The record is from RefSeq and is a predicted model, not a curated record. Lineage: Eukaryota; Metazoa; Chordata; Mammalia; Lagomorpha; Leporidae.